RNAcentral lists this non-coding RNA (187 nucleotides) under Dokdonella sp. RNAcentral's name for it is "6S / SsrS RNA". It matches the Rfam family "6S / SsrS RNA". From Rfam's summary of the family: E. coli 6S RNA was the first non coding RNA to be sequenced, but its function was unknown until recently. It consists of 184 nucleotides that fold into an extended hairpin structure with a large single-stranded internal bulge. Lineage: Bacteria; Pseudomonadati; Pseudomonadota; Gammaproteobacteria; Lysobacterales; Rhodanobacteraceae. The record is from Rfam by way of RNAcentral.
UGUCCUCUGCGGUGCCCGGCAGCGCACUCUUACAUAUUGCCUUGUUCCUAUAGACGACCCCGGGACGGCGAAACGAAAACCUGUGUGCACGUCCGCGCAUGCGGAAAGCCUGAAGGUUGCGUCAGCCCUCCCACCUGAUCCCCGGGAUCAAGGUCGUUCGAUGCGCACCGACACCAGCGGAGGACAU